RNAcentral lists this long non-coding RNA (231 nucleotides) under Medicago truncatula (barrel medic). RNAcentral's name for it is "long non-coding RNA (MTRU_LNC006720)". The stretch from base 72 to 231 matches the Rfam family "MIR2619 microRNA precursor family". Lineage: Eukaryota; Viridiplantae; Streptophyta; Magnoliopsida; Fabales; Fabaceae. The record is from RNAcentral.
GCUUAAUUGCACUUUUGGACCCCUAUCUUUCCAAAAGUUACGGUUAUGGACCCCUAACUAAUUUAAAUACAAAACAGCCCCCUAUGUUUUGAUUCUUUGGCAAUUUUGGACCCCCAAGGCAAAAAAAACAUAAAAAAUUUGACACGUGGCACCUCACUUAAGGUGCCACGUCAGCGUUGACCGAGUCAACAAUGGACUGGGGGUCCAAAACUGCCAAAGAAUCAAAACAUA